AGUGAACGCUGGCGGUAGGCCUAACACAUGCAAGUCGAACGGAAGCGCACUAAUAGCUUGCUCUUAUGGGGGGCGAGUGGGGGAAGGAUGAGGAAAACAUCCGAAUCUACUUUUUGGUAGGGGUUAAGGUAGGGGGACCUAAGCUAAUAUCGGAUACGCUCUACGGGUGUAAGCAGGGGAACUUCGGACCUUGUGGGAUUGAAUGAGCGGAUGACGGAUUAGCUAGUUGGGGGGUUAAUGGCCAAGCAAGGCGGCGAUACGUGGCGGGGCUGGGUGGAUGGUCCGCCACGCGGGAAGUGAGACACGGUCCAGACUCCGACGGGAGGCAGCAGUGGGGAAGAUUGGACGAAGUGCGCAAGCCUGAUCCAGCCAUACCACGUGGGUGAAGAAAGCCUUCGGGUUGUAAAGCCCUUUUGUUGGGAAAGAAAAGCAGCAGGUUAAUACCCCGCUGUUCUGACGGAACCCAAAGAAUAAGCACCGGCUAACUUCGG
Molecule: ribosomal RNA, 491 nt
Filed under: uncultured bacterium
Lineage: Bacteria
Description: partial 16S ribosomal RNA
Rfam family: Bacterial small subunit ribosomal RNA
Source: RNAcentral